CGAACACUUUCGUCCCGCCCUUUCCCUCAUGCUCGUUAUUGGCACCGCGCCAUUGGCUCGGUCCUACACCCCUCCCGCACCUCUGAGGUUCCAUUGGCCAGAACGGGAUGUCUGUCAUCCACUCAGUCCAACCCUUCCACACAGAGUAGGAACUUCUCAUUGGCCAGAUGAAUUGUCAAAUGCCGAAUCUGGGAGGCGGGGUGAGGGUGUGCUUAAAGGGGGCGUGACAGGUCGCCUAACUGAGCUGUCUACUUCUGCCCUCUUUCUAUUGGCUGGUAGACGAAAUGCAGUUUUAUGGUUGGCCGCAGCUUCUGCCCAUUAUCAACCAGGUCUUCCGAGGUGGGAGAAAGGAGGGAAUCAUGCAGCGUGCUGGUUCUUUGAAAGGCGAUUGAGGGGAGGAGUAACGGGAAAAUACAGGCGGGGGACCGCUUCCCAAGAAUCCCUGCGCAGAAAGCCUUAGAAUAAAUGUUAUUUCUAGGCGCCGACCUGCUUUCGGCCGAAAGUGGGUACGCCAGAUUUCUUUGAGAAUAGCAGCUAAAGUUUGAAAAUAAAUCGACAAACACUUUUUGGGCCCCUACCCUGUUCUUGGUUUUGCCGCGUGCUGGGGCUGAAGUGAUGUACGCGACGCCCCUGUGACCGCGUGGCAGUCGUGCCAGCCUCCUGACAGGAACGACCUUCCCCUUGACUUCGCUUUUUAGAAACAAAGGUCCAGUCUACUUUCUGGGGAGCUACGGCGCGCAAAAGGACAAUGCUCAGGUGUGAAGAGCCGUCCUGCACGUUAGAUUGAGCUGCAGUAGUCCCCAAUCUGCUUAUUCUCCCCGGAUGCACUGAGAAAGGGACGCACGUGCUUCCCUGACUAAACCUUGUGCUUUCCUGGCCUCCGCUAUGUGACAGGAAGGGGAGUUGCAGUUAGGGCUGAAGAAGAAGGAGGAAAAGACUAGAAAGAGGUCUUCUGAAUUCCCCUGCUGCUGCCCUCUCCAUUCACCCAGGAGAAGAGAGAGUGGUGGUGAAGUGGGGGGUACCAUGGACCACCCCAGAGCUGCCUGCCAGCUGCUCCUCCUGGCUCCUUAUCGGCCAGAAAGAAGCUCAAGUUUCCCCAGCACAGACAAUCAGAUGCUGCUUCAGAGCCCUAGGAAGCUGGGAGUUUCUUCUGAAAAAGGUACCUGGCUGGCUGAGUGUGAUCUGCCCUGGACCAGCAUGGGGGGUAGUGGGGGGGCUGCUCCUACAGCAGAACUGGGUGCAGUGCCAGGUGGAAAGCGGGAGAGGUCAAGCUGCAGAUGCCUCCCCUUUUCCCUGGGGAGAAGUUGAAGCUGAACAGAAGAGGCCCCUUGAGGUGGCCCCAUCAGCCACCAAGAGGAACUCAGAACCCAGACCUGGCUGUCAGCUGCAGGCAGGUUGCCCCAUCCCCAGGCUUAGCUUUUCCCACUAAAACAUGAAGGGCUGGCCUUGAGCUCUCCAAGGUCCCUCCUGCUCUGCUCGGCGUGGUCCCUGCAGAGCCUGCCUGUUCUGUAUUUGAAACUCAUCCCUCCCCCAUGCGGUUUAUCCACCUGGCCUCCUCUUCCUCCUCUUCUUCCUCCUCCUCCUCCCAGAGCUGCAUCGCUGACAGCUCUGGUUUACAGCAGAGCAAAUGUCCUGGGCUGCCACUGUUGUCUUGCCAUUGUUGCAAAAGCGGCCUUGGAUAAGAUGCAAAUGAAUGAGCCUGAAGCCACGCACCAUGGCCCACACAGGUAAUCCCAGCUCGGGGAGGCCGAGGCAGGAAGAUUGCCGGGAGUUAAAGGCCAGCCUGGGCUGCCUAGCAAGACCCAGUCUCAAACAACCAAAGGGAGGGGGUGCACCGAAUGUGAACGUGUCCCCAGGAAACCAGUUUAUGGCGAUGAAGUUUGUGUCAUCGUUUUCUUGAUGUGCUUGGGAUUGAAUCCAAGACCUCAGUGCAUUGUAUUCCUACUCCCCCCACCCCCACACUGUUUAGUUUUUUUUAAAGACAGUCUUUCUAAGUGAGUAAAUUGCCCAGGCUAUGCUCUGGGUUUGUGUUCCUCCUGCCUCAGCCUCCCAGAGAGCUAGAAUUACAGGCAUGUGUCACCACUCCCAGCAUUCUUGCCACUUUCGGAAAGCAGUUCUAGAAGUCUUCUUUGUGACUGUCUUUAGGAAGUGUGUUGUAGUCGGGGUUUACUAGGGAAAAUACUUAGUACAGUACUCAAAGCAUCAAAUGCAAAAAGUGCAGGAGAGCU
This is a long non-coding RNA of Cavia porcellus (domestic guinea pig), 2228 nucleotides long. RefSeq lists it as uncharacterized. The record is from RefSeq and is a predicted model, not a curated record. The transcript has 3 exons. Lineage: Eukaryota; Metazoa; Chordata; Mammalia; Rodentia; Caviidae.